Molecule: ribosomal RNA, 293 nt
Filed under: uncultured bacterium
Lineage: Bacteria
Description: partial 16S ribosomal RNA
Rfam family: Archaeal small subunit ribosomal RNA
Source: RNAcentral
GUGCCAGCCGCCGCGGUAAUACCGGCAGCCCGAGUGAUGGCCGAUAUUAUUGGGCCUAAAGCGUCCGUAGCUGGCCGAACAAGUCCGUCGGGAAAUCCGCGUGCUUAACACGUGGGUGACCGGCGGAAACCGUUCGGCUUGGGGCCGGAGGACCCGAGGGGUACGUCCGGGGUAGGAGUGAAAUCCUGUAAUCCUGGACGGACCGCCGGUGGCGAAAGCGCCUCGGGAAGACGGACCCGACAGUGGGGGACGAAAGCUGGGGUCUCGAACCGGAUUAGAAACCCUGGUAGUCC